Long non-coding RNA from Amphiprion ocellaris (clown anemonefish), 1313 nucleotides. Lineage: Eukaryota; Metazoa; Chordata; Actinopteri; Pomacentridae. The record is from Ensembl.
GUCUGUGAAUCUGAUAGGAACAGGGAUGGAACGGGAACAGAAAUAAACCAGCUGGCGUGCAACAAAGUGGUUUCCCACCGUCAUUCUCCACACACAGCGCAGAGGAGAGAGAGUUAGCCCAGACCCGCUACAUUUAGACUAAACAGACAGGAGACAAAUGGAGAAACAAGUUGAGCAGCAGUUCUCUCUGAGGAGCUGCAUCCUGACUGACGGGCUGCACAUAUCCAUCAAAGCCAGGACUGAAAGAGGGGAUUGUUUUUAGCAGCUGCAGAGUUAAAGCAGAGCUGCUGGAAGCUGGAAGUCCGUGGUGUUAUACAGCAGAGUGGAGAGCUGGAAACAGAAAAGAAGUCCUCAUAUUCCCUGGUUGAGGCCUGUGUCGUGGUGACUGGCACAUGCCUGUGCUUGUGAAUAGGCCUGUGAAUACCUGUAAAUUAUACUGUUCACUGGAAGACAACUGAAAAGAGUUUCCCCUGUGCAAUUCAUGCGAUAUUUCCAUCUGCUAAGCGUCAAAGACUCUGAGAAUAGAUGCAAUUUUCUCCCACUAUCAUCCGCAGAUUCACAGUCUCAAAAGUAGUUGCCCUUGUUGUGCGAAUCUGGAACAGAAAAGUGGAACUUUGUCUUCAGCUUGGAUUGCAAUACCACAUCAGAUCGCAAUACUGACAAGCACAAGCACUUAAACACUAUAUUAUAUGUCACAGUAAAGCGAGGAAUGAAUGACUAAAUGUAAGCUUAAAUAAUUUAAGAAGUGCCAGAUACGUGGGAUUCACAACACCACUGGCAUGUUCUGUAGUUAAGUGGGAUUUAGACUGUGAUGAUGCAGGGAUAUUUUUUCUUUACGCUGUGUAAGGUCUCUAUGGAUUAAACACACAUGCAUUUACUGUCAGUGAUUCAUAUAGUUAAAGCAUAAAGCUGGCAAAAUUCUACAUAAAAAGAAAUCUAAUUAGAAGACUAAACCAGCCACUUAACUGAUCCUUCUACAAAUACUACAAUAAAUAUGUGUGUGUAAAGUGUUGUAUAUUGUACUUAUCUGUGCCAUAGAGCUCCAUUCUUCUCCAAAACUUAUUAAAAACAUAGAAGCAUGCUAUUUAAUAUAAUUUAAUUUUGUGUCAGUGCAUCAUACGCUGUCCUCCUGCAGUUAAAACUCAGCUGUGCACAAAUUAUGCAUUAAUCUGCAGCAGAAUCUAGUCCCUGACCAAUUUACUAUUUACAUUUUUGAGUGACUUUGGGGAAGUAUUUGGGCCUUAAAAAAAACAACAACAACAUAUGUUUUUAAUCAGUUGUAAAGAUUUACAUGUCAAGUCAGAAUUAGUGGG